UAUCCAUGAGCAGGUUGAAGCAAGGGUAAGACCUUGUGGAGGACCGAACCCAUAUCUGUUGAAAAAGGUUGGGAUGACUUGUGGAUAGCGGAGAAAUUCCAAUCGAACCUGGAGAUAGCUGGUUCUCCCCGAAAUAGCUUUAGGGCUAGCCUUGAUGAAGAGUGAAACGGAGGUAGAGCACUGACUGUCCUAGGGGCUUUCACCGGCUACCGAAGACUAUCAAACUCCGAAUGCCGUCUUCAUACCAUCAGGAGUCAGACUAUGUGUGAUAAGAUUCAUAGUCGAGAGGGAAACAACCCAGAUCAUCAGCUAAGGUCCCAAAGUGUGAAUUAAGUGGGAAAGGAUGUGGGAUUGCAGAGACAACUAGGAUGUUGGCUUAGAAGCAGCCAUUCAUUCAAAGAGUGCGUAAUAGCUCACUAGUCGAGUGAUCCCGCGCCGAAAAUUACCGGGGCUAAAAUUCACCACCGAAGCUAUGGCAACGAAAGUUGGGUAGGGGAGCAUUGUAUACGGGCAGAAGCGGUAUCGCGAGGCGUCGUGGACUGUAUACAAGAGAGAAUGUUGGCAUGAGUAACGAGAGGCGGGUGAGAAUCCCGCCGGCCGAAAACCUAAGGUUUCCUGAGGAAGGUUCGUCCGCUCAGGGUAAGUCAGGACCUAAGCCGAGGACGAAAGUCGUAGGCGAUGGACAACAGGUUAAGAUUCCUGUACCGAUCUAUAUUGUUUGAGAGAGGGAAUGACACAGGAGGAUAGGCGCGCGUGCUAAUGGAUGCACGUAUAAGCAGUGAGUAGGGAAAGGUAGGCAAAUCCGCUUUUCUAUUAACUAUAAGCUGUGAUAUGGAGGGAAAAACAAGUACCGAAGGCGCUGAUUUCACACUGUCGAGAAAAGUUUCUAUUGAGAUAUAGAUUGCCUGUACCGCAAACCGACACAGGUAGGUAAGUAGAGAAUACUAAGGCACGCGAGAAAACUAUUGUUAAGGAACUCGGCAAAAUGACCCCGUAACUUCGGGAGAAGGGGUGCCAAGAUAGGUUCAGAGCUAAUCUUGGCCGCAGAGUCUAGGUCCAAGCAACUGUUUACCAAAAACACAGGUCUCUGCUAAAUCGAAAGAUGACGUAUAGGGGCUGACGCCUGCCCGGUGCUGGAAGGUUAAGGGGAAUACUUAGCGUAAGCGAAGGUAUGAACCGAAGCCCCAGUAAACGGCGGCCGUAACUAUAACGGUCCUAAGGUAGCGAAAUUCCUUGUCGGGUAAGUUCCGACCCGCACGAAAGGCGUAAUG
Molecule: ribosomal RNA, 1271 nt
Filed under: oral metagenome
Description: bacterial LSU rRNA
Rfam family: Bacterial large subunit ribosomal RNA
Source: RNAcentral